RNAcentral lists this long non-coding RNA (463 nucleotides) under Mus pahari (shrew mouse). Its description in RNAcentral is "lncRNA (MGP_PahariEiJ_G0006358.1)". Lineage: Eukaryota; Metazoa; Chordata; Mammalia; Rodentia; Muridae. The record is from RNAcentral.
GAGAUGGGCUGCGGGACCGUGGGUUCAUUUACCUAAGGGGAAAUGUUAGUAGAUACCUGGGUUCACUGAGGCUCUCUCUUCAGGGAUGACAUCAUCGGCUCACACCAGUCUUCCAGGACCACCUUCCAGAUGCCAAGGCUGCUGCUCGAGUACCUGCUGUGCAUCUCUACCUCCUGAGCCAAGGAGCAUGGAUUCCAGGAACCCACUACCAUUCAGAGCAACUCCUCGUGGACCCCCUCCCCCCCCCGAUCAGGACAGCGAGGGACAAGAGACAAAGAGGAUCAUCAGUGGCCAGCUAGUCUCUCUGGGGUUCAAACCUUGAACCAGUGCCCUAGUGAGGGGGCACUGGCCAUGACCCUUGACCUUUGCUCUGCUUGUGUCUUGAGUCUGAGUCCUUUCCUGUACAUCUGUGCUUGUGUUCAUCUGCUAGUGAACUGGAGUGCUGCCCUCCCCGAGGGGGGUC